This 5673-nucleotide long non-coding RNA is filed under the name Marmota monax (woodchuck). Lineage: Eukaryota; Metazoa; Chordata; Mammalia; Rodentia; Sciuridae. The record is from RNAcentral.
CUCAGCACCACAAUUAAAUAGAUAGAUAGAUUAAAAAAAUAAAAUAAAAUAAAGGCCCUUUGACAACUAAAAAUAUAUUUAAAACAACAACAACAAAAAGCUCUAUUUACCAAGAAAGUAUGCAAAAGAACUGCCAUAUCAUUCCUUCACAUAGAACAACACGGCUUUCUCACCUUUCAAAGGAUAGAAGUAAUCAGUUGGCUUUAGAAGUGAAAAAGCAUGAUGCAACUCCAAAUACAAGUAAUAAAUUUAUUCUCUCCCCCAUCAUAAUUUCAUUUGCCAACUUAUUUUAACCAAUUACCCUAACAAUCACUAACAUUUAUAAAAACACCUCUUCCCCACACCGUGUGAAGACUUCUAUUUCACAUGCUUUUACCACAAGCUUUACUCCAAUCCUAAUGUUUAUUCAUUUCAAACUGACACUGAAUGUCUUUUCAGAUUUUAUAAUUGAGGGCUGGGGUUGUGGCUCAGUGGUAGAGCAUUUGCCUAGCAUGUGUGAGGCACUGGGUUCAAUCCACAUAAAAAUAAAUAAAAUAAAGGUAUUGUGUCUGUCUACAACUAAAAAAUAAAUAAUAAAUAAAUAAAUACUUUAUGAUUGAUGCUCAAUUCAAGUUAGAUUGCUUCUCAAUAACAUCUAUACUAGUACCACUUUUUGUUACAUGAUCUACUAUGGAAGUUUCAAUAUGAUAUAUAUUUGGACAUAGAUAUUAAUCUUUGGGUGUGUUACUGGGGAUUGAACCCAGGGGUGCCCUACCACUGAACUACACCCCAAGUACUUUUUAUUUUUUGAGACACUCUCGUUGAGUUGCCAAGGCUGGCCUUAACCUUGUGAUCCUCCUGCCUCAGCCUCCUGAUUAACCUGGAUUAUAGGUGUGUGCCACCAUAUCUGGCAAUUCUAAAACAUUUUUAAACUCUAUUUAUAUCUUUGAGAGCUCCUCAAAAAGGCCUUAACACUGCCUGGUGAACUAAUUCACUGUCCCAAUGUUGGCUCAUUUCUUCUCUCUUUUUAAUCCUCUACAAUCAGGUUUUUGUUCCUCUCAUUUCCAAACCUACUUGUCAGGGUUACCAAUAUCCUUUUGUCUUGCCAAAUCCAAUAGCUAAUUCUCAGCCUUCAUCUUACUUGACCAAUUGGCAGAAUCUCUCAUUAACCAAAUUCCCCACCCCCUUUUUUCUGUACCAGGGACUAAACCCAGGGGUACUUAAUCACUAAGCCACAUCCCUAGCCUUUUUCUUUUUUUGAGACAGGGUCUCACUAAGUUGCUGAGGUUGGUCUCAAACUUGCAAUCCUCCUGCGUUAGCCUUCUGAAUCGCUGGAAUUACAGGCAUGCACCACCACACCCAACUCAAAUCCCUCCUUUUGUUUGUCACUGGUUCCUGGUACACUACAUUCCUUGAUAACAAGCUAUUCAGUCUCCUUUGCUAGACUAGUCUCCUCUUCUUGACUGAAUGUGAAAUGCCUAUGGUUUAGUCCUUGCACUUUGCCUUGCCUUCAGUCUAAAUCAAGUCCUCCAUAAUCACAUCCGGUUCCAUGAUACAAGAUUAAUCCCAUAUUUCUUAUUGGUCCUGACUAUCCCCACCACCUGAAGGCUUCCAAAUGCUUAUCUAGUUUCUCCAUAUGGAUAUCUAAUGAGCAUCUCAAAUACACAACUUGACUUUCUUCUGCCAGGUUCUUAACACUGAUGACUCUAUUUCCAACCUUCAAAGUACUUGACUUUAAAAGUAUUUAUUCUAUUUUUAAAAUAUCACCAAUUCUCAUCUAUUAAACCCCAUUCCAAGCCACUACCUCCAAUGUGAAAUUCUGAACUAGUCCUCUAAUGGUCUUCCUGCUAUUAUUAUUAUUAUUUAGUUUUUUAGAUGGAUACAAUACUUUUAUUUAUCUCUUUAUUUUUAUGUGGUGCUGAGGAUCAAACCCAGUGCCUCACACAUACAAGGCAAGCACCCUGACACUGAGCCACAAUCCCAGUCCUGCUUUCAUUAUUUUUUAAAAAUAUAUUUUUAGUUGUAGAUGGACACAAUACCUUUGUUUGUUUUACGUAGUGCAAGGCAGGCACUCCAUCACUGAGCUACAAACCAGCCCCCCCCCCCCGCUUCCAUUUAAAAAAAUAUUUUUAGUACUAGAUGGACAUAAUACCUUUAUUUUUUAUUUAUUUUUAUGUGGUGCUGAGGAUUGAAUCCAGUGCCUCACAUGUGCUAGGCAAGUGCUCUACCACUAAGCUACAACCCCAGUACCUCAGGAUCUUUAAACAAAGAUCCCUUACAUCUGCACAAAACAAGUCAGGGGCUGGUUUCCAUAUACAGAAUAAAAUUUCAUUACUUGCAGUAGCCUAAAAGGUCCUAUAAGAUCAAAUCUCUAUCUAUUUUGGUUACCUCACCUCUCCUUUCCACUCUCACUGUCUCUGCUCUAAUUUCCCUGGCUUUCUUACUAAUCCUUAAAUAAGCAAAGUUCAAUCUAUCUCUGGGACUUUGUGCUUCUGCUUCCUCUACCAGAAUCUAUUUCCUUGAUUUUUUUUCAUGGCUAACUUUAUUUUGGUCCCAGUUCAAAGAUUACCUCCCCUGACAGAUUAUCCUGACCAUCCUAAUCUAAGAACACAGGAAAUUCUCAAUAGACCUAGUUGGAGAUACUUGUCCAAGUUUAAAUAUAAAAGAACAUCUAGGAGAAAAAACAAUUCAAAAAAUAAAUAGAAUGAUUUCCCCUGAGAGAGACCAAAGGUAGUUUUCCUUUUUAAAACAAAAGAGGAAAUAGGAGAGAAGAGUGGGAUAUAUAUAUAUAUAUCUCCACACUGAUAUAAUGUACCUGCUCUUCCCAGGUGUCAGGCCUUCUUUCCUCGGGCCUUUCAUGAGAGUUUCACACAAACAUCUCAAAGAGCUGCUACUUCACAGACCAACCAUAAUACUACCAGCAACAGAUGAUUUGCGGUGACCAACCUUCAUUUCCCUGAGCACUGUCUUCCUGUUUUGAUUCUUACCACCAUCCAAGGCUCCUUCCCUUGCUCCAAGAAGGAAGGCACAUUUGGCUUAGGGAUGAUACAGCUUAAAAGAAAAGAAAUGGAACAUGGUGAUUCUACAGGAGUUCUAGAAUCAAAUCAGGUUCAUUGGCCAACAAUGAAGAGACAGUGACAGAGGAAGGUAUCAUGAUCCAAAGGAUGAUAAACACAAAAGUACACAGUGAACUACUCCAUUUCUACCUCUACAAACUGAAAUUUUCCUUGGAAAUGGAAAUUAGAAAUUCACAAUGAAGGAGGCAGAAAUUAUAUGGGGACAAAUUCUGAUUAUUAUAUAAGAAGAGCUUACUGAGUGAGGUUAAAUUGCUAUAGUUCUCUAAUGUCCUAUCCUUAUCCCUGUGGGCAAGGUCCAGGCAUUCCCAUUCCUCCCGAGAGAAGUUGACAGACAUAUUACUGAAAGUCACCGGCCACUAGAACAAAAAAUUCAUUCUUUAUUUGUGAAAAUAUGGUAACAAUUUUGAGGUGAAAUGAGAAAGGAUGGAAGAGGUCAUGGAAGGAGGUGGUAAGACACAAUAGACAAUAGGCUAUGGCUGAUAAUAUUAAUAUUAUUGGUCACUUAAGGAAUAUGUGUGCCUAAACUGUAGUAGCAACAUGAUUCUCAAGUACUCAUAUUGCUACAGACAAACCUUCUGUGUAUAAUAGGACAAUUCAAUUAAUCAGAAAGGUCUGGAAGUAAAAAAGGGGAAAUGCGGACAUGAAAAAUUGAAUGCAAUCAGACAGAAUAUUAAACUUUCUCAUUCUAAUAAACAAUAAUAAAAUCUUUUUUGUUUUAAUUAUAGAUGGACACAAUACUUUUAUUUAUUUACUUUUAUGUAGUAAUGAAGAUUGAACCCAGUGCCUUACACGUGCUAGGCAAGUGCUCUAGCACUGAGCCACAACUGCAGCCCAACAAUUAAUUCUUUAUGAAAAUAAGUCUUCCCUUCUCUUCUCCUUUUAAACAAAAAGAUAAACAAAAUUGAUAGACUCUUUCCAAACAAUUUUUGCCAGGUCUCUAGACUAAUAGAAUUUGAAAAUAACUUAAGAAAUUCUGGUCCAUGAAGAGCAAAAUGCAGGCUUUAGAAACCAUUUUAAUAUUUCAUGCAUGUAAUUUUGACAUCUGAAAAUAGGUUUUUGUAUAUUUAUGGUGGGAAGUAUUUGGUAACUUUCAACAAAGUGGGGUGUUAAUUUUUGUACAGUCUAUGGGCAUUUACACAUAUUUUUAAUGUAUUAAAAUUUGGUAAUUAUGUGCACAUGAAAUUAAUAAAAUAGUUACUUCCUGUUAUGAUUUGUGAAUUCCUUAAGACCUUGGUUUUUUAAAAUAACUUUAUAUGAGAAAUAAUACUACAUCUUUAUAUUUUAAAAAUUGUAUUGCUGCUCAAGAAUGGUACCCUGUUGUCAAAAAGACAUACAUUCAUAAUUGUACAUUCAGCAUUGUAAAUAACCUUAUGAAAUCCUUUUUUUAAUUGAAGCUAUUCAAAAUAAAAAUUUAAAUUUAAAAGCUCUGGACUGGCACAUUCUGGCCAUCUCCAAGGCAAACCUCACUGAAAACCGUCUUCACUCAUUGGUUCCUGGGUGAGAUUAGUAUGAUGAUAAGUAGAAUAAUCCCCGCCCCCCAUGUCCACAUCCUAUUCCCUUGAACCUGUAACUACAUUACCUUACAUGACAAAAGGGACUUGUCAGGUGUGAUUAAGGAUCCAGAGAUAUGGGAAAUUAUCCUAGAUUACUUGGCUGGGCCUAAUGUAAUCACAAGGGUAUUUAUAAAUGACUGAAAAAACAGGGAAGUCAGAGGAGGAGACCUUGUUAUAAACACACAAGUCAAAAUGAUAUGAUUCUUGACUUUGAGAAUGCAAGGAAGCCACAAGCCAAAGACUGUGGGCAUUCUCUAGAUCCUAGAAAACAUAAGGAAACAGAUUCACCUCUAGAACAUCCAGAAAAAACACAGCUUGGCUGAUACCCUGACUGAAGCCCUAUCCGACCCAUUACAGACUUCUGACCUCCAGAAGUAUAAAAAUAAACUUCUUGUUUUUCUUUUUUUGGUACUGGGGAUUGAACCCAGGGGUGCUUUACCACUGAGCUAUAUCCCUAGCUCUUUUUAUUUUUUUGAAUCAGGAUCUUACUAAGUUAUAGAGGAUGGUCUUGAACUUGUGAUCCUCCUGCCUCUAGAGUAGCUUGGAUUAUAGGUGUGAGCCACUGGGUCCAGUAAUUUCUUUCUUUCUUUUUUUUUUUUUUUUUUUGUUUUUUUUAGACAAAUUUAUUGUUGUUACAAUAACAACAGGAACACAAGGGUCAAGAUCUCUUUCUUCACAGGACUCCGUUCCCACCCAAUUUUUAAAGUUUCACAGAAAAUCUUGUCACACACUGACAGAACAUCCAAAGAGAAAUGCUGUCAUUUCCAACUGGAAAAACUAUGUAGAGAAGAUCAAGGUUUACUAUAUGUCCCUCUUAACAAUUCAUCUCUAACUCAUCAAACCAUGGUACUAAGACUGCUCUUAAGAGGAGGUAUUUCAGCCGGGCUUGGUGACACACACCUAUAAUCCCAGCAACUUGGGAGGCUGAGACAGGAGGAUAGCGAGUUCAAAGCCAGCCUCAGCAACGGGGGUGAUGCACUAAGUAACUCAGAGAGACCCUGGCUCUAAUAAAAAAUAUAAAAAUUGGGCUGGGGAUGUGACUCAGUAGUUGAGCGUUCCCUGAG